GCUGGACAUGGUGGCGCAUGCCUGUAAUCCCAGCUACUUGGGAGGCUGAGGCAGGAGAAUCGCUUGAACCUAGGAGGCGGAGGUUGCAGUGAGCCGAGAUCAUGUCACUGCACUCCAGCCUGGGCAAUAGAGUGAGACUCUGUCUCAA
Macaca fascicularis (crab-eating macaque) is the source of this 148-nucleotide unclassified non-coding RNA. It matches the Rfam family "Metazoan signal recognition particle RNA". Rfam says of the family: The signal recognition particle (SRP) is a universally conserved ribonucleoprotein. The record is from Ensembl. NCBI's taxonomy places the organism in Eukaryota, Metazoa, Chordata, Mammalia, Primates, Cercopithecidae.